UACAGAGGUCCCGAGCGUUGUUCGGAUUCACUGGGCGUAAAGGGUGCGUAGGUGGUGAGGUAAGUCGGAUGUGAAAUCUCCGAGCUCAACUCGGAAAUGGCAUUGGAAACUACCUUGCUUGAGGGUUGGAGGGGGGACUGGAAUACUUGGUGUAGCGGUGAAAUGCGUAGAUAUCAAGUGGAACACCAGUGGCGAAGGCGAGUCCCUGGACAACUCCUGACACUGAGGCACGAAAGCUAGGGGAGCAAACAGG
RNAcentral lists this ribosomal RNA (253 nucleotides) under uncultured bacterium. RNAcentral describes it as "partial 16S ribosomal RNA". It matches the Rfam family "Bacterial small subunit ribosomal RNA", at positions 524 to 776 of the family's 1533-position model. The record is from RNAcentral.